GCGCCUGUAGUUUAGUGGUAAAACCUCUGUCUUCCACACAGAUGUCGUCGGUUCGAUUCCGUCCAGGCGCACCA
RNAcentral lists this transfer RNA (74 nucleotides) under Opitutaceae bacterium. RNAcentral describes it as "tRNA-Gly". It matches the Rfam family "tRNA". From Rfam's summary of the family: Transfer RNA (tRNA) molecules are approximately 80 nucleotides in length. Their secondary structure includes four short double-helical elements and three loops (D, anti-codon, and T loops). Lineage: Bacteria; Pseudomonadati; Verrucomicrobiota; Opitutia; Opitutales; Opitutaceae. The record is from RNAcentral. RNAcentral also lists the same sequence under 2 other names.